UAAUAUUUAGUUUAUAAAAAAUAAAGGUUUGUGAUAUCUUAGAAAUAAUAUUAA
RNAcentral lists this transfer RNA (54 nucleotides) under Gnathostomula paradoxa. RNAcentral's name for it is "tRNA-His". Lineage: Eukaryota; Metazoa; Gnathostomulida; Bursovaginoidea; Gnathostomulidae. The record is from RNAcentral.